ACUAUUUUGGCAGAUUAGUGCAGUAAAUUUAGAAUUUACUUAUGUAAUUUUUAUUACAGAUAGUA
This 65-nucleotide transfer RNA is filed under the name Nezara viridula (southern green stink bug). RNAcentral describes it as "tRNA-Leu". Lineage: Eukaryota; Metazoa; Arthropoda; Insecta; Hemiptera; Pentatomidae. The record is from RNAcentral.